CCCGGGGGGCAGCAGUGGGGGAUAUUGCACAAUGGGGGGAACCCUGAUGCAGCGACGCCGCGUGGGUGAAGGAGCGUUUCGGCGCGUAAAGCCCUAUCGGCAGGGAAGAAGAUGACGGUACCUGACCAAGCAGCCCCGGCUACCUUCGUGCCAGCGGCCGCGGUUAUACGUAGGGGGCAAGCGUUAUCCGGAGUUACUGGGUGUAAAGGGUGCUCAGAAGGUAAUGCAAGCCAGGAGUGAAAGCCCGGGGCCCAACCCCGGGACUGCUCUUGGAACUGGAUGGCUGGAGUACAGGAGGGGCAGGCGGAAUUCCUAGUGUAGCGGUGAAAUGCGUAGAGAUAAGGAAGAACAC
RNAcentral lists this ribosomal RNA (352 nucleotides) under uncultured bacterium. Its description in RNAcentral is "partial 16S ribosomal RNA". It matches the Rfam family "Bacterial small subunit ribosomal RNA", at positions 338 to 709 of the family's 1533-position model. The record is from RNAcentral.